AGGGGGAGAGAGAAUCACGGAGCAGAGACAGAAGAUGUAGACAGUGCUCCAAGGUGCUAAGGAAGAGAAUGAAUGAGGAGGUCAAGUCCCUUCCCUACUUCUGGUCCAGGCCACAUCAGGAGGAUGAAAGAAAUGAGACUGGAAGCAGGCAGGUGUUUUCAACUGGACUGGACUUUUAUGACCUGCAUGUUGGCAUCUGCUGAAGUCAUCCUCCCCAAAUGCAUAAGGUAAUAUACUUGAACGGGUUUAACUGAAGGCAGAAAAUAGAAGGGAACAAAAGGCUGCUUUCACAACCAAUAAAUCAGUUACACACCCAUUACACCACUGAAUCCUCAAAACAGUCAUAUGAGGUGGGUACUGUUAUCUCGGCCUUAGAGAUGAGGGAACCAAGGAUCCAGGAGAUCACGAAAUUUAAUCAAAACCGAAGCUAAUGAUUGAAUCGUUACUACUCAAAGCAACAUCACUGGCCAGCACUGCAUCCUCACAAGAGAGCUGGGGUUGCGCUCUGCUCAGGGCAGGCAGCUCCUCGCUCAGCUACCACUGGGCUGGCAGCAGCAAUAAGGAACUCACCACCUGCCCAGAUUUCUCAUUCCCUUUUCAGAUGGCUAUGGAAGUAAUAACUAGCUGCUCUUUGUUUUUUGUUUUUCAGUACUGAGGAUUGAACCCAGAGCCUUCACAAUAAGCUACAGUCUCAGCCUUAUUUUUAUUUUUUAUUUUGAGACAGAGCCUUGCCAAGUUGUUAAAUUGCCCAGGCUGGGCUUGACCUUUCCGUCCUCCUGCCUCAGCUUCCCAGAGUGCUGAGAUGAUGGGUGUGGGCUGCCACGCCUGAUUAUUAGCUACAUCUUUGUAGAGCUGUGGGGUGAACACUUAUAAUACUCAUUCAGUAAGUAUUUAUGGGGCACUUCUCACCAUCUGCCGGCUGUGCAAGGUGUCAGACCUCCACUGCUCUGAGAAGAGGGCUCCGUGGGCAGUUCUUCCAUCUGUCCUCUGCAGAUGGGUGUACACCUGGCUCAAACUCUGGAAUUCCCUUGCUGACUGCUUUUGAAUGGCUUCCAAGUCUACAUCCUGUGAUCUGGAGCCCCUCUGCAUUUCUGCCUAUUGAGCAUCAAGGUUUGGAUUGAAAUGUAUGUGGGUUAAGGAUAGACUUUACUG
Molecule: long non-coding RNA, 1152 nt
Filed under: Fukomys damarensis (Damara mole-rat)
Lineage: Eukaryota; Metazoa; Chordata; Mammalia; Rodentia; Bathyergidae
Description: lncRNA (ENSFDAG00000025730.1)
Source: RNAcentral